CAGGCGCAAAGAGCCACCUCUAGUUUCCAUGGAAACCUCGCCUGAGCUAGACUCUGUAGAGCGCGAAGCUCUUGCUACCCCUCAGGUGCCCUGACAGACACUAGGAAGGGAUCUGCACAUGGUUGAGGGGGCAAAGUAGGGGGCCUGAGGGGAGGAGGCUGGGCGGCUCCGCCUCCCGGACCAGCAGCGCCCCCAAAUUCUUCUCGGCGUCCGCGCGCUCCUGGGCCCUCAGCGUUGUGAGGCAAAGGGGUCGGGGAGGCCCGAGUUGGCGAGGCCGGUGUCCGACUCUGGCCCGCUGGGCCUCGCUUGCUCCACUUCAGCGCCUUGUCACCCCCAGCCGAGGGCCUGCGCCGCCGACAGAUGCGGGAUAGUGCCGGACUUCUGGGCGCCACAAAUGCUCCUUUUCCUGAAGACAUAACCCAAGAUCAGGGCAGCCCCUACCAGAGGCCAGCAGGCUGGUGGUGCCUAGAGAAGGCCCUGGCUCCCAUGAAAGCCCUCCGUGGCCUGUCUCUGACCUGCACUGGAAGCGGGGAUCUCCAGGG
Manis pentadactyla (Chinese pangolin) is the source of this 542-nucleotide long non-coding RNA. RefSeq lists it as uncharacterized. The record is from RefSeq and is a predicted model, not a curated record. The transcript has 3 exons. NCBI's taxonomy places the organism in Eukaryota, Metazoa, Chordata, Mammalia, Pholidota, Manidae.